This 477-nucleotide ribosomal RNA is filed under the name uncultured Oceanospirillaceae bacterium. RNAcentral's name for it is "bacterial SSU rRNA". It matches the Rfam family "Bacterial small subunit ribosomal RNA", at positions 97 to 570 of the family's 1533-position model. Lineage: Bacteria; Pseudomonadati; Pseudomonadota; Gammaproteobacteria; Oceanospirillales; Oceanospirillaceae. The record is from RNAcentral.
GGCGGACGGGUGAGUAACGCGUAGGAAUCUACCUAAUGGUGGGGGAUAGCCCAGGGAAACUUGGAUUAAUACCGCAUAAGUCCUAAGGGAGAAAGCGGGGGAUCUUCGGACCUCGUGCCAUUAGAUGAGCCUGCGUAAGAUUAGCUAGUUGGUGAGGUAAGAGCUCACCAAGGCGACGAUCUUUAGCUGGUCUGAGAGGAUGAUCAGCCACACUGGGACUGAGACACGGCCCAGACUCCUACGGGAGGCAGCAGUGGGGAAUAUUGGACAAUGGGGGCAACCCUGAUCCAGCCAUGCCGCGUGUGUGAAGAAGGCCUUCGGGUUGUAAAGCACUUUCAGAUGUGAGGAAAGGUUACAGAUUAAUACUCUGUAGCUGUGACGUUAACUGCAGAAGAAGGACCGGCUAACUCCGUGCCAGCAGCCGCGGUAAUACGGAGGGUCCGAGCGUUAAUCGGAAUUACUGGGCGUAAAGCGCGC